This 789-nucleotide ribosomal RNA is filed under the name uncultured bacterium. RNAcentral's name for it is "bacterial SSU rRNA". It matches the Rfam family "Bacterial small subunit ribosomal RNA", at positions 8 to 796 of the family's 1533-position model. The record is from RNAcentral.
AGAGUUUGAUCCUGGCUCAGAUUGAACGCUGGCGGCAUGCUUUACACAUGCAAGUCGAACGGCAGCGCGGGGCAACCUGGCGGCGAGUGGCGAACGGGUGAGUAAUAUAUCGGAACGUACCCAAGAGUGGGGGAUAACGUAGCGAAAGUUACGCUAAUACCGCAUACGAUCUAAGGAUGAAAGCAGGGGAUCUUCGGACCUUGUGCUCCUGGAGCGGCCGAUAUCUGAUUAGCUAGUUGGUGAGGUAAAGGCUCACCAAGGCGACGAUCAGUAGCUGGUCUGAGAGGACGACCAGCCACACUGGAACUGAGACACGGUCCAGACUCCUACGGGAGGCAGCAGUGGGGAAUUUUGGACAAUGGGCGCAAGCCUGAUCCAGCAAUGCCGCGUGAGUGAAGAAGGCCUUCGGGUUGUAAAGCUCUUUUGUCAGGGAAGAAACGGUGGAGGCUAAUAUCCUUCGCUAAUGACGGUACCUGAAGAAUAAGCACCGGCUAACUACGUGCCAGCAGCCGCGGUAAUACGUAGGGUGCAAGCGUUAAUCGGAAUUACUGGGCGUAAAGCGUGCGCAGGCGGUUUUGUAAGUCUGACGUGAAAUCCCCGGGCUCAACCUGGGAAUUGCGUUGGAGACUGCAAGGCUAGAAUCUGGCAGAGGGGGGUAGAAUUCCACGUAGCAGUGAAAUGCGUAGAGAUGUGGAGGAACACCGAUGGCGAAGGCAGCCCCCUGGGUCAAGAUUGACGCUCAUGCACGAAAGCGUGGGGAGCAAACAGGAUUAGAUACCCUAGUAGUCC